UCAGUAACACGUAGUCAACAUGCCCAGGGGACGUGGAUAACCUCGGGAAACUGAGGAUAAACCGCGAUAAGUCACUACUUCUGGAAUGGGUAAUGACUCAAAUCUAUAUGGCCCCUGGAUUGGACUGCGGCCGAUCAGGCUGUUGGUGAGGUAAUGGCCCACCAAACCUGUAACCGGUACGGGCUCUGAGAGGAGGAGCCCGGAGAUGGGCACUGAGACAAGGGCCCAGGCCCUAUGGGGCGCAGCAGGCGCGAAACCUCUGCAAUAGGCGAAAGCUUGACAGGGUUACUCUGAGUGAUUUCCGUUAAGGAGAUCUUUUGGCACCUCUAAAAAUGGUGCAGAAUACGGGGUGGGCAAGUCUGGUGCCAGC
This 370-nucleotide ribosomal RNA is filed under the name unidentified archaeon. Its description in RNAcentral is "bacterial SSU rRNA". It matches the Rfam family "Archaeal small subunit ribosomal RNA", at positions 90 to 462 of the family's 1478-position model. The record is from RNAcentral.